RNAcentral lists this ribosomal RNA (253 nucleotides) under uncultured bacterium. RNAcentral describes it as "partial 16S ribosomal RNA". It matches the Rfam family "Bacterial small subunit ribosomal RNA", at positions 524 to 776 of the family's 1533-position model. The record is from RNAcentral.
UACGGAGGGGGCUAGCGUUGUUCGGAAUUACUGGGCGUAAAGCGCACGUAGGCGGCUUUGUAAGUUAGAGGUGAAAGCCCGGGGCUCAACUCCGGAAUUGCCUUUAAGACUGCAUCGCUAGAAUUGUGGAGAGGUAAGUGGAAUUCCGAGUGUAGAGGUGAAAUUCGUAGAUAUUCGGAAGAACAUCAGUGGCGAAGGCGACUUACUGGACACAUAUUGACGCUGAGGUGCGAAAGCGUGGGGAGCAAACAGG